Molecule: ribosomal RNA, 508 nt
Filed under: uncultured bacterium
Lineage: Bacteria
Description: partial 16S ribosomal RNA
Rfam family: Bacterial small subunit ribosomal RNA
Source: RNAcentral
GACGAACGCUGGCGGCGCGCUUAACACAUGCAAGUCGAGCGAGAACCAGGGCUUCGGCCCUGGGGACAGCGGCGAACGGGUGAGUAACACGUGGGUAAUCUGCCCUCGGCACCGGAAUAGCCCGGGGAAACCCGGAUUAAUGCCGGAUGGCCCCUUCCCCUCGCGAGGUGUCGGGAAAAGGUAGCUUCGGCCUCUGGCCGAGGAUGACCCCGCGGCGGAUUAGCUUGUUGGCGGGGUAACGGCCCACCAAGGCGACGAUCCGUAGCUGGUCUGAGAGGACGAUCAGCCACACUGGGACUGAGACACGGCCCAGACUCCUACGGGAGGCAGCAGUGGGGAAUCUUGCGCAAUGGGCGAAAGCCUGACGCAGCGACGCCGCGUGAGGGAAGAAGGCCUUCGGGUUGUAAACCUCUUUCAGGAGGGACGAAGCUACUCGGGUGAAUAGCCCAGAGGGUGACGGUACCUCCAGAAGGAGCCCCGGCUAACUACGUGCCAGCCGCCGCGGUAA